Molecule: non-coding RNA, 196 nt
Filed under: bovine gut metagenome
Description: raiA RNA
Rfam family: raiA RNA
Source: RNAcentral
CGGGUCUGUGGUUGAAAGUCGAUGCCAGUCGCAGGCGAAGCGAUCCACGUAAGCGGGGCAAAGCCCCCGUGAGCAUGGUGCGGUUUAGAAGUAAGUCCUGUCAGUAAUUAACUGAGACCGCGUGUAGUGAGAGGGGAUAAUCCGGGUAGCGAAAGCGGCAACAGGCGAGUGUGGGGUCAAAGACCAGGUCAGCCGU